CGGCCAAUCGGGAGCUACACAUGCAGCUGAGCGGUAGAGAUCUUUCGGGAUCUUGAGAGCGGCGUACGGGUGCGGAACACGUGUGCAACCUGCCUUUAUCAGAGGGAUAGCCUUUCGAAAGGAAGAUUAAUACCUCAUAAUAUAUUGAUUCGCAUGGAUUGAUAUUGAAAACUCCGGUGGAUAGAGAUGGGCACGCGCAAGAUUAGAUAGUUGGUGAGGUAACGGCUCACCAAGUCGAUGAUCUUUAGGGGGCCUGAGAGGGUGAUCCCCCACACUGGUACUGAGACACGGACCAGACUCCUACGGGAGGCAGCAGUGAGGAAUAUUGGACAAUGGGUUAGCGCCUGAUCCAGCCAUCCCGCGUGAAGGACGACGGCCCUAUGGGUUGUAAACUUCUUUUGUACAGGGAUAAACCUACUCUCGUGAGGGUAGCUGAAGGUACUGUACGAAUAAGCACCGGCUAACUCCGUGCCAGCAGCCGCGGUAAUACGGAGGGUGCAAGCGUUAUCCGGAUUUAUUGGGUUUAAAGGGUCCGUAGGCGGAUCUGUAAGUCAGUGGUGAAAUCUCACAGCUUAACUGUGAAACUGCCAUUGAUACUGCAUGUCUUGAGUAAGGUAGAAGUGGCUGGAAUAAGUAGUGUAGCGGUGAAAUGCAUAGAUAUUACUUAGAACACCAAUUGCGAAGGCAGGUCACUAUGUCUUAACUGACGCUGAUGGACGAAAGCGUGGGGAGCGAACAGGAUUAGAUACCCUGGUAGUCCACGCCGUAACGAUGCUAACUCGUUUUUGGGCUUUCGAGGGUUCAGGAGACUUAGGCCGAAGGUGAUUAAGUUAGCCACCUGGGGAGUACGUUUCGGCAAGAUUGAACUCUCAAAGGAAUUUGACGGGGGCCCGCACAAGGCGGUGGAUUAUUGUGGUUUAAUUCGAUGAAUACGCGAGGACUUUACAGGCUUAAUGGUAUGACGACGCAGAUGUUGUUUUUCUUCGGACAUUUCAGUGCUGCAUGAUGUCGUCAGCUCGUGCCUGA
RNAcentral lists this ribosomal RNA (1026 nucleotides) under bacterium. RNAcentral's name for it is "bacterial SSU rRNA". It matches the Rfam family "Bacterial small subunit ribosomal RNA", at positions 34 to 1070 of the family's 1533-position model. The record is from RNAcentral.